Molecule: ribosomal RNA, 437 nt
Filed under: Salmonella enterica subsp. enterica serovar Muenster
Lineage: Bacteria; Pseudomonadati; Pseudomonadota; Gammaproteobacteria; Enterobacterales; Enterobacteriaceae
Description: bacterial SSU rRNA
Rfam family: Bacterial small subunit ribosomal RNA
Source: RNAcentral
UAUCCUUUGUUGCCAGCGGUCCGGCCGGGAACUCAAAGGAGACUGCCAGUGAUAAACUGGAGGAAGGUGGGGAUGACGUCAAGUCAUCAUGGCCCUUACGACCAGGGCUACACACGUGCUACAAUGGCGCAUACAAAGAGAAGCGACCUCGCGAGAGCAAGCGGACCUCAUAAAGUGCGUCGUAGUCCGGAUUGGAGUCUGCAACUCGACUCCAUGAAGUCGGAAUCGCUAGUAAUCGUGGAUCAGAAUGCCACGGUGAAUACGUUCCCGGGCCUUGUACACACCGCCCGUCACACCAUGGGAGUGGGUUGCAAAAGAAGUAGGUAGCUUAACCUUCGGGAGGGCGCUUACCACUUUGUGAUUCAUGACUGGGGUGAAGUCGUAACAAGGUAACCGUAGGGGAACCUGCGGUUGGAUCACCUCCUUACCUUAAAGAA